This is a non-coding RNA of Punica granatum (pomegranate), 464 nucleotides long. The record is from RefSeq and is a predicted model, not a curated record. Lineage: Eukaryota; Viridiplantae; Streptophyta; Magnoliopsida; Myrtales; Lythraceae.
CCUCUGUCGAAGAACUCCACUCCGACAGCAACUCCUCCAUCGAAGCUCGGCGGCUCAACGCCUCAACGACGACAUUCCUCUCGGCGACUCCACUCCGCAAGUCCCCGGUCGCUCGCCACCCACUUCCCCGCUUGAAGCAGCUGAUCUCCCGCACUCUACCGAGAGUAUCGCUUGGAAAUGGUGCAGGAUUUCCUUGCGAAUCGCUAAAGCAAGACAACAAGGUUAAUUUGUUCGUGGAGUUUUUUGGGAAAUUGCUAUUAGAGUAAAAAUGAAAUUGUAACUAUAUCGUAUUUGGAUUGGAGGUUGAUAUGUAACUAUAUUGUGUUUGGAUGUACUGAGAUGUUUAUGUGUGUUUUCCACCUUCUAUUGUUCAUUAUGUAUUGCGUAUGUCCUUUUGUUUUUGGGAUGAACAUUGUAUUGUAUCUGUUCCUCAUCAUGUUCACUCAAGAAUGUACCUUUAUGUA